ACCGCAUAGUUCCUUGAACCGCACGGUUCAAGGAUGAAAGACGGUUUCGGCUGUCACUUACACAUAAACCCGCGGCGCACUAUCUAGUUGGUGGGGUAAUGGCUCACCAAGGCGACAAUACGUAGCCCACCUGAGAGGGUGAUCGGCCACACUGGGACUGAGACACGCCCCAUACUCCUACGGGAGGCACCACUAGGGAAUCUUCCGCACUGGACAAAAGUCUGACAGAGCAACGCCCCGUGAGUGAUGAAGGUUUUCUGAUCCCAAACCUCUCUUGUUAGGGAAGAACAAGUGCGAGAGUAACUGCUCGCACCUUGACGGUACCUAACCCCAAAACCCCGGCUAACUACAUGCCACCACCCGCCGUAAUACGUACUUGCCAAUCUUUUUCCGGAAUUAUUGGGCCUAAACGGCUCGCAGGCGGUUUCUUAAUUCUCAUGUGAAACCCCCCCGCUCAACCGCGCACCGUCAUUGGAAACUUGGAAAACUUGAGUCCCCACAAUAGAGAGUGGAAAUUCCCCCCUGUCACCU
RNAcentral lists this ribosomal RNA (531 nucleotides) under Bacillus pumilus. RNAcentral's name for it is "bacterial SSU rRNA". It matches the Rfam family "Bacterial small subunit ribosomal RNA", at positions 168 to 681 of the family's 1533-position model. The record is from RNAcentral. Lineage: Bacteria; Bacillati; Bacillota; Bacilli; Caryophanales; Bacillaceae.